This 403-nucleotide ribosomal RNA is filed under the name Fusobacteriota bacterium. RNAcentral describes it as "Fusobacteria bacterium partial 16S ribosomal RNA". It matches the Rfam family "Bacterial small subunit ribosomal RNA", at positions 355 to 776 of the family's 1533-position model. The record is from RNAcentral. Lineage: Bacteria; Fusobacteriati; Fusobacteriota.
UGGGGAAUAUUGCACAAUGGAGGGAACUCUGAUGCAGCGACGCCGCGUGAACGAAGAAGGCUUUCGAGUCGUAAAGUUCUUUUAUAUGGGAAGAUAAUGACGGUACCAUAAGAAAAAGCCCCGGCUAACUACGUGCCAGCAGCCGCGGUAAUACGUAGGGGGCUAGCGUUGUCCGGAAUCACUGGGCGUAAAGGGUUCGCAGGCGGAAAUGCAAGUCAGAUGUAAAGGGCAGUAGCUUAACUACUGUAAGCAUUUGAAACUGCAUAUCUUGAGAAGAGUAGAGGUAAGUGGAAUUUUUAGUGUAGCGGUGAAAUGCGUAGAUAUUAAAAAGAAUACCGGUGGCGAAGGCGACUUACUGGGCUCAUUCUGACGCUGAGGAACGAAAGCGUGGGUAGCAAACAGG